GCUCUGCUGUCAGGUCAUGUGUGCUAGUCUUUUCUACUCAAACUUUAUGUCAGUUCCUGGAGGACAGGGACCAGGUCUUACAUUCCUUCCCCCCGCCCCAACAGUGCCUAUCUGAUUCUUAGAAUCAUGGUGAUUUAUUUUUAAUAUGUAUUUUAAUUAUCCUUAAUAUUGUAUUUGCAAAAUCAGCUCUAUUUGGUUUAGAAUAAACCUUGCAAUACAACUUUGGCCAUGUCUAUGGAUUUAUUAGCAUUUCUUAUAAAUGUAAGAAAUUUGUAAUUUUGCACUGCUUUUCACCUUUAGGCCUUGCUCAUACAUAUACAAUCACACUACUAGUAUAAUACACACAUGGUUUGCUUAAUUAUAUUCUGACAAGAUACCUCUGCUUUGCCCAUGCUUACAGCACAGCCCACUAGUCAACUAUGCAAGUGUCCUGUUAUUGCACUUAACAUCAUCAUGUUUUCAGAACAUAAAAUGCCUGUUUAAUACGGUCCUACCUUCCUAUUCUAUCUCUGGCUUAGAAAAGGAGAACAGGAGCUGGCUAGCAUCUUCUAAAUAUAGCCUCUCUCUCCUCUUCCCAUCUCUGGUAGGUCUUUGCCCUGAAACCUAACACUGUCCUUGCUUUGGUUUCUUUCACUUCCUUUCAAAUCUGUUGUCUUCCUGCUUGUACUUUUUUGCUAGAAGGCAGGGCCUAUGAGAAGAGACCCCCCGCCCCCCGAUUUCGUCAGAGCUAGCAAAAGACAGGAAGUUUACACAGAGCAAAAUGAUUUGCUAGAAUUGGUUUUGACCCUUCCUUAAGCUGUUGCUUGUGUCAGAGAUGCUGCUGUCAGGAUUCUGUUGCACAAAGAGAAAGAUAAAAAUAUCUCUCUGACUCGUGCAUUUUCUCCCUUUUCCAUCCUCUUGCCAAGAACACUGGAAAUGGAUCCCAGGCCUAUUGGAGGCAUUAGGUUGUCAGUUUGAAUCCCAGUGGUCGAGAAAGAAAUGUGGGUAAUAACUAGCUGAUGGUGGAGAAGAAAGGAACUCCAGGAGCUGGCAAAGUGGAGGUCCUGGAACUUUCAAGAGCUCCAGUCUCUAUAGGAAAACCUGUGAGGGGAGAAGUCUUCGCGGUAUCACCACUUCCUGUCGACCAGGGCUCAGGCUGCCUUCCUCCGAGCACCACACAUCAAAAGUGAACCCAGAGCAACCCCUCAUUCCGGCUGCAUAUCCUACAACCUGCACUAAAGAGAAUUCUCUGAAGUCACUGCAAGACUCAAAAUCCUACCCACUUCCCGAGUAGCAGAGAAGAUGCAUAUAUUCUGUUGUAAAGAGUCACAGCAGAAAAUGAAACUUGAUCACCGUUACCCUUCUAUACAAAACAUUGUCACAUACAUUGUCUCACUUGAUCUUCACAAACAUCAUGGAGUAUAGGUCAAGGGGAUUAUUAUUUUAACUUUACUUAAGAAAUUGAGGCUCUGGUUACGCAAUUUGCUAACAGGUGCACAGCUGGUUAGUAGGCAUGUGGACUUGACCCAGGCCUGAAUGCUUGAAGUUCAGGUUCAUCCUGUACUUUUUUUCAUCCCCUCAAGCAGCCUCUCAGGAUCUUUGACAACUUUUAUUGUUCUGCCCUAGAAUCUUUUUUUUAUUCAUAAUUUGAGAUCUUUGUAUGUUAAAAAGAAUUUGAUUUCUACUUCUUUUGUCAAAAUUAUUCUCAUGCUUGUCUUAAGUUUUGCCUCCAUUAAGGCCUUUACUCCACAGAAAUAAAUGUUUUAGAGCAGUGAGUCUUAAAUUUCUUCAUGCUUAAAAAUUACCUGAGGAGCUUGCUAAAACUCAGAUUCCUGGGCCCUACCUCCAGAGACUCUGACUCAGUGGGUCAGGGCUGGGGCCUGAGAAUUUGCAUUUCUAAUAAGUUUCCAGAAGAACCUAAUGCUGCUAGCCAGAGACCAUGCUUUUAGACUAUGGGCACAGCUUGAGUAUUUUAUUUUAUUUUAUUUAUCUUAUUUUCUUUUAAUUUUUUAAAAAAUUCUGUUUUUAAGUAAUCUCUACACCCAUCAUAGGGCUCAAAGUCACAAUGCCAAGAUCAAAAGUUGCAUGCUCUUAAGUGAAAUAAGUCCUGUAGAGAAAGACAGCUACCAUAUGUUUUCACUCAUAUGUGGAACAGGAGAAACUUAACAAAGGACUAUAGGGGAGGGGAAGGGGAAAAAUAGUUAAGGAGAGGGAGGCAAACCACAAGAGACUCUUAAAUACUGAGAACAAACUGAGGGUUGAUAGGGGUG
RNAcentral lists this long non-coding RNA (2249 nucleotides) under Suricata suricatta (meerkat). RNAcentral's name for it is "lncRNA (ENSSSUG00005017331.1)". The record is from RNAcentral. Lineage: Eukaryota; Metazoa; Chordata; Mammalia; Carnivora; Herpestidae.